RNAcentral lists this ribosomal RNA (1001 nucleotides) under human gut metagenome. RNAcentral's name for it is "bacterial LSU rRNA". It matches the Rfam family "Bacterial large subunit ribosomal RNA", at positions 1923 to 2925 of the family's 2925-position model. The record is from RNAcentral.
GUAAACGGCGGCCGUAACUAUAACGGUCCUAAGGUAGCGAAAUUCCUUGUCGGGUAAGUUCCGACCCGCACGAAAGGUGUAACGAUUUGGGCACUGUCUCAACGAGGGACCCGGUGAAAUUGAAGUACCUGUGAAGAUGCAGGUUACCCGCGACUGGACAGAAAGACCCCAUGGAGCUUUACUGUAACCUGAGAUUGGAUUCCGGUAAGAGAUGUACAGGAUAGUUGGGAGGCUGAGAAGUGAGUACGCCAGUAUUCACGGAGCCGCUGGUGGGAUACCAACCUUGUUUUAUUGGAAUUCUAACGAGAAGCGUAACGAGCUUGCGGACAGUCUCAGGCGGGCAGUUUGACUGGGGCGGUCGCCUCCGAAAGAGUAACGGAGGCGCCCAAAGGUUCCCUCAGCGCGGACGGAAACCGCGCGAAGAGUGCAAAGGCAGAAGGGAGCUUGACUGCGAGACGGACAGGUCGAGCAGGGACGAAAGUCGGGCUUAGUGAUCCGGUGGUAGAGAGUGGAAUUGCCAUCGCUCAACGGAUAAAAGCUACCCUGGGGAUAACAGGCUUAUCUCUCCCAAGAGUCCAUAUCGACGGGGAGGUUUGGCACCUCGAUGUCGGCUCAUCACAUCCUGGGGCUGAAGUAGGUCCCAAGGGUUGGGCUGUUCGCCCAUUAAAGUGGUACGCGAGCUGGGUUCAGAACGUCGUGAGACAGUUCGGUCCCUAUCCAUCGCGGGCGUAAGAAACUUGAAAGGGGCUGCUCCUAGUACGAGAGGACCGGAGUGGACCGACCAAUGGUGUACCAGUCAUGGCGCCAGCCGUGCAGCUGGGUAGCUACGUCGGGGACGGAUAAACGCUGAAAGCAUCUAAGCGUGAAACCAGCCUAGAGAUGAGGUUUCUCAUUACAUUAGUAAGUAAGGUCCCACAAAGACGAUGUGGUUGAUAGGCCGGGAGUGGAAGUACAGCGAUGUACGGAGCGGACCGGUACUAAUAGACCGAGGACUUGACUAC